Long non-coding RNA from Alosa sapidissima (American shad), 1270 nucleotides. RefSeq lists it as uncharacterized. The transcript has 6 exons. The record is from RefSeq and is a predicted model, not a curated record. Lineage: Eukaryota; Metazoa; Chordata; Actinopteri; Clupeiformes; Clupeidae.
UUAAAAGCCUCCAUAAUGCCUGCUUGAAAUUACACUUUCCAUUGUUUUUUUUAGUGGUCCAUCAUGGCAGUAUUGGUAAAAGUUGUUUCUGUGUGGUUUCUCAUUGCUAGUGUCAGUAAUGUCUUCGGUCAUCCAAAGAGGGAUGUCAUGGAGGAAAGUUCCCAUGUGGUUGAUGUUACCAAAUCCCAACAACCAGACCCAAACUGGAGCUAAUGAUGGUGCAAGUGAAGAUUACUGUAUGUUGUCUCCCCAAAACCAGACAACCGCUGCCCAAACUGAAAAUGCUGUAAAAAGAUGGAGCAAGUGAAUAUGACAUGGUAACUGAAUCCCCAAAACCAGACAGUGCCAUCUGCCACAGGUGGAGUAACCGUAGAGUCCAAGGAUGGGCCAAGUGAAGAUGCUGAGGUUAUCACGCCGAUACCGAAUGCCCAAAACCAGACCACCUCGGCGCACAGUAUAGGAACGGAUGGUGCAAGUGAGGAUGCAGUGUUGACCACUGUGCUGAACCUGAAAAAUGGGACCACCUCUGCCCAAGAUGGAACCACUAACACUGGUAUUGACAUUUUACCUGUUGUGUAAAUUUUUUUUUUUUUUUUUUUUUUUUGUGAUAAAUCUGGGAUUUCAAGCUUGACUUAUGCUUAUCAAGAUGUGGUGCCAUACAUUACAUUGUCUGCUUUAGAUUUGUGGAAUUUCUACAUUUUUUCCCCAUUAAGAUAAUCUAGUGGCUACAAGAGUCUUUAGCACUCAGUCUUCUGAGACAAAUCAAAUCAUUUGUAGGUUAUAGAUGUGUGAAUUCAGUUUGUCAGAUCCCAUGUUGGGACAAUAGCAUUUGUAGACUUGCUCACCAAUGAUUAUUUAAAUGCUUCAUUAUCCCUGUAGUCUCUUACUGCAUACUCUGCUCCUUAAACUGCUCAGACUUAACAUUUCUUUGGCAAAUGGCACUCCUAGUCACGUAUACUGUGUCUCCUGGUUUUGUAUAUUUGUCACCUGUGAACUGUAGUUGACUGGCUGGCUAUGUAGGAAGUUCAUGUCAGCCCAACUUGCUGUACGAGGAAUGAGUUGAUUUUAACCUUUUAGAGCAAAGGUGCAGAAAUGGAACGUUGUGGGCUGGCCUGGUUCAUAUUUCAGGUUAUAGAUUUCUUAAAUCAACCAGUAGUCACAACAAAAUGUCUGGUAGUUGACUAGUCCCAGGUUGAAGCAAUGGCAUAUAGUAAGGAGUUGCUCUGAAAUAAGUUAAAGACUGCUUUUUUUUUUUUUUUUUUUUUUUUUU